Long non-coding RNA from Acanthopagrus latus (yellowfin seabream), 291 nucleotides. RefSeq lists it as uncharacterized. The transcript has 3 exons. NCBI's taxonomy places the organism in Eukaryota, Metazoa, Chordata, Actinopteri, Spariformes, Sparidae. The record is from RefSeq and is a predicted model, not a curated record.
UGCUCUCUGACCUUCUCGCCCCUAAGCAUCCUGGAUAAUCCCUUGGAUAAACAGCUUUUCCAUGAUUCAUGCGCAGAGGAGUUUUCUGUCCAUUAAACUGUAUAAGGAAGACGAUGGUCUUUGCCCUGGCAAGGACACAGCUGGACAGCAAAUCACCAUAUGCGCGGACUAACAAAUAUACGAUACAGAGGGGCUGCCCGGCCACUUCCAUACAAUCCCACAUGGUCUCGAUCCAUUCGCCGCACAGCACCCGGAACACAAUCAGGAAGGAGUGGAAGAAGUCCUUCAUGU